CCUGGUCUUGACAUAGUAAGAACUUUCCAGAGAUGGAUUGGUGCCUUCGGGAACUUACAUACAGGUGCUGCAUGGCUGUCGUCAGCUCGUGUCGUGAGAUUGUUGGGUUAAGUCCCGCAACGAGCGCAACCCUUUUCCUUAUUUGCCAGCGGGUUAAGCCGGGAACUUUAAGGAUACUGCCAGUGACAAACUGGAGGAAGGCGGGGACGACGUCAAGUCAUCAUGGCCCUUACGACCAGGGCUACACACGUGCUACAAUGGUCGGUACAAAGGGUUGCUACCUCGCGAGAGGAUGCUAAUCUCAAAAAGCCGAUCGUAGUCCGGAUUGGAGUCUGCAACUCGACUCCAUGAAGUCGGAAUCGCUAGUAAUCGCGGAUCAGAAUGCCGCGGUGAAUACGUUCCCGGGCCCUGUACACACCGCCCGUCACACCAUGGGAGUUUGUUGCACCAGAAGUAGGUAGUCUAACCGCAAGGAGGACGCUUACCACGGUGUGGCAGAUGACUGGGGUGAAGUCGUAACAAGGUAAGCGUAGAUGA
This 537-nucleotide ribosomal RNA is filed under the name uncultured bacterium. RNAcentral's name for it is "bacterial SSU rRNA". It matches the Rfam family "Bacterial small subunit ribosomal RNA", at positions 974 to 1509 of the family's 1533-position model. The record is from RNAcentral.